Molecule: ribosomal RNA, 460 nt
Filed under: uncultured bacterium
Lineage: Bacteria
Description: partial 16S ribosomal RNA
Rfam family: Bacterial small subunit ribosomal RNA
Source: RNAcentral
CCUACGGGUGGCAGCAGUGAGGAAUAUUGGUCAAUGGCCGGAAGUCUGAACCAGCCAUGCCGCGUGAAGGUCAGUGCCCUAUGGGCGUUAAACUUCUUUUGUGCGGGAGCAAUAAUGGUCACGUGUGGCCAGACGAGUGUACCGUACGAAUAAGCAUCGGCUAACUCCGUGCCAGCAGCCGCGGUAAUACGGGGGAUGCAAGCGUUAUCCGGAUUUAUUGGGUUUAAAGGGUGCGUAGGCUGGGAGGUAAGUCAGCGGUGAAAUGCCCCCGCGCAAAGGGGUGAAGUGACAUUGAUACUGCAUUGCUGGAGUGCGGAUGAGGUGGGGGGAAGUUGUGGGGUAGCGGUGAAAUGCAUAGAUAUCACACAGAACACCGAUUGCGAAGGCAUCUCACGAAUCCGCGAUUGACGCUGAUGCACGAAAGCGUGGGUAUCAAACAGGAUUAGAUACCCGAGUAGUC